This 265-nucleotide small RNA is filed under the name Theropithecus gelada (gelada). RNAcentral's name for it is "Metazoan signal recognition particle RNA (ENSTGEG00000025465.1)". Lineage: Eukaryota; Metazoa; Chordata; Mammalia; Primates; Cercopithecidae. The record is from RNAcentral.
GCCAGGCAUGGUGGUGCAUGCCUGUAAUCCCAGCUACUUGGGAGGCUGAGGCGGGAGAAUCACUUGGACCCAGGAGGUGAAGGCUGAAGCCAGUUAAGAUCGUGCCACUGCACUCCAGCCUGGGUGACAGAGACUCCAUCUCAAAAAAAAGGUCAGGCGCAGGGGCUCAUGCCUGUAAUCGUAGCACUGGGAUGCUGAGGCGAGUGGAUUGCCUAAGCUCAGGAGUUCGAGACCAGCCUGGGUAACACGGUGAAACCCCGUUUCU